ACUAUUUUGGCAGAUAAGUGUAAUAAAUUUAGGAUUUAUUAAUGUAGAUUUUUUUCUAUAGGUAGUA
RNAcentral lists this transfer RNA (67 nucleotides) under Balta valida. RNAcentral describes it as "tRNA-Leu". The record is from RNAcentral. Lineage: Eukaryota; Metazoa; Arthropoda; Insecta; Blattodea; Pseudophyllodromiidae.